This 741-nucleotide ribosomal RNA is filed under the name uncultured bacterium. RNAcentral describes it as "bacterial SSU rRNA". It matches the Rfam family "Bacterial small subunit ribosomal RNA", at positions 111 to 853 of the family's 1533-position model. The record is from RNAcentral.
UUACGCGUAUGCAACCUACCCAUAACUGGGGCAUAGCUUCCGGAAACGGAAAUUAAUACCCCAUAGUAUUAUAACAUCGCAUGAUAUAAUAAUUAAAGUUCCGACGGUUAUGGAUGGGCAUGCGUGCCAUUAGCUAGUUGGGGAGGUAACGGCUCACCAAGGCUAUGAUGGCUAGGGGGUCUUAAAGGAUGGUCCCCCACACUGGUACUGAGACACGGACCAGACUCCUACGGGAGGCAGCAGUGAGGAAUAUUGGUCAAUGGGCGCAAGCCUGAACCAGCCAUGCCGCGUGCAGGAAGACGGCCCUAUGGGUUUUAAACUGCUUUUAUAUGGGAAGAAAACGUUUUACGUGUAGGGCAUUGACGGUACCAUAAGAAUAAGCAUCGGCUAACUCCGUGCCAGCAGCCGCGGUAAUACGGAGGAUGCAAGCGUUAUCCGGAUUUAUUAGGUUUAAAGGGGGUGUAGGCGGGACUCUAAGUCAGUGGGGAAAUCUUUCGGCUCAACCGGAAAACUGCCAUUGAUACUGGAGUUUUUGAGUAUAGUUGAGGUAGGCGGAAUGUGUAAUGUAGCGGGGAAAUGCUUAGAUAUUACACAGAACACCGAUUGCGAAGGCAGCUUACUAAGCUAUUACUGACGCUGAUGCACGAAAGCGUGGGUAGCGAACAGGAUUAGAUACCCUGGUAGUCCACGCCGUAAACGAUGAUUACUCGUUUUUGGCGAUAUAUUUUCAGCGACUGAGCG